GGGGGUGUAGCUCAGUGGUAGAGCGCAUGCUUUGCAUGCAUGAGGUCUCGGGUUCGAUCCCCGGCACCUCCA
This 72-nucleotide transfer RNA is filed under the name Cavia porcellus (domestic guinea pig). RNAcentral describes it as "tRNA-Ala (TGC) (tRNA-Ala-TGC-3-1)". It matches the Rfam family "tRNA". Rfam says of the family: Transfer RNA (tRNA) molecules are approximately 80 nucleotides in length. Their secondary structure includes four short double-helical elements and three loops (D, anti-codon, and T loops). The record is from Rfam by way of RNAcentral. Lineage: Eukaryota; Metazoa; Chordata; Mammalia; Rodentia; Caviidae.